RNAcentral lists this ribosomal RNA (161 nucleotides) under uncultured bacterium. Its description in RNAcentral is "partial 16S rRNA". It matches the Rfam family "Bacterial small subunit ribosomal RNA", at positions 355 to 511 of the family's 1533-position model. The record is from RNAcentral.
UAGGGAAUCUUCCACAAUGGGCGCAGCNGAUGGAGCAACGCCGCGUGAGUGAAGAAGGUCUUCGGAUCGUAAACUCUGUUGUUAGAGAAGAACAUGCGAGAGAGUAACUGUUCUUGUAUUGACGGUAUCUAACCAGAAAGCCACGGCUAACUACGUGCCAG